This 1174-nucleotide long non-coding RNA is filed under the name Ricinus communis (castor bean). RNAcentral's name for it is "long non-coding RNA (RCOM_LNC001331)". The record is from RNAcentral. Lineage: Eukaryota; Viridiplantae; Streptophyta; Magnoliopsida; Malpighiales; Euphorbiaceae.
UCAAACUCACAUCAGCUUAACCCUCUCAAAGUCUCCACCACCCACCCUCUUUUUCACACCGUCGUUCACUCUAUUGCUACUGCCAUUCACGUCGUCAUUGCUGCCGUCCACACCAUCGCUGCUGCGAUUCACUUUGCUGCUGUGUUCAAGCUGCCGCUGCUGCCGUCCACGCCGCUGCUGUUGGCGUCGCCCUUGCUGCCGUCUUAGGUAAUUAAGCUAGGAACGCAACAACUUUGUCAAAUUAGAUGUUUGCGAAAGGUUCUUGAAUUAACGAUUUUGAUUGUGGCUGUCAUUUUGGAUGUUGAUAAUGAUUCAUUGUGGCUGUCAAAUUAGAUGUUUACCUAUCUUUCUAGCAACAAAAGCAACUGAUAUCAAAUACAUAAUGUUAAUUUUGAAGGAUAAGAAAAUAGUUCUUAACUAAAAUACUUUGCCAUCUAAAUCUCUGUCUACUUGUAUCCACACUUCUCAUAAGAUUAUUUGUUCUCAAUACUGCAAUAUAGAAUAACCUUAUAGCAUCCCAUUGAUUGAGCAUGGCCUGUCAGGAAGGCGAUAAUUUUCUUUCCCAGCUGUUUCCCUCGAGCAGUGGAAUCAACCACAACAUCUUCAAUGUGCCCAACUUUUCCGCAAUCCCUUACGAACUUCUUUUCAAUAAACACACUCCCAGUUGCAAUAAUCUUCUCAGAUCGGUCAUCUUCAAUUACACAAAUAAUAUGAUCGACACCGUAAGAGCUAAUCUCUUCAAACCGCUCUUCAGAUUCCUUGUUUGAUAUUGAAUCACAAACGGUUAAUUAUAGCAGUAACUCUAUAAAUACAUUAUAACUGCUUAUUUGAUUUUUUUCUUUUUAUUGCGCAAGUAUUAUUUAAAUAUUUCUUAUAAUAAUUGUUAUAAAUAGAUCUAUUAUUUAAUGUUUAAAUAUGUUAAUAGUGUUAUUCUUUUCAAAUGUGGUAGAUAAACAUUUUAAAUAUGAAGUUGAAGAUCUACAAAGUGUAAUAAAUAUUGCAUUUUAUUUAGUUUUUAUUAUAUACAACAUUGUUUUAAAUUUUAUUGAAUUUAUAUUUGUUUUGUAUUAAUAUAUUGAACAUUUAAUGUUGAAUACUUAUACUUGAUUAGUUUAUGUUUUAUUAUUAUUUUUAUUCAUUUAAAUUAUUGUAAACGGGUUCGGUAAACGGGUAC